GUGUGUUGCGUAUGUCCGACCGGAAGCUGGAAUCGAUAGACUGUGAAUUCUGGUCAGUUAAUGGCAUCCGAUGGAGGUCUGGAAUGGCUCAUCUGUUGUUUGAGACAUUGGGUGGCGCGCCCGUAGACAGCCAAGCGGCUCUGACAGUUCAGUCUGUACUAGAUCCUCCGACUUUGUCUAGCGAACAUUUACCAGGAGCGACAGUUCUUGUCUCUCGCCCACCAAAUGCAAUAACUUUGGAUGAAGAAGAUGUAUUUCAGUGUGGCAAGUGCAAGAAGCAAUUCACUUCUUUCUGUCUGUUUAUGAGCCAUAAAAAAGAACAUGCUGUCUCUGGAGAGCAACUUUCAGGUUCGCGGCUGAAGCCAUUGGUGCCAAGUAAUUUAAGACUUUCUCUGGAUGGAGGUCAGCAAGAAGGAGAUGAGCGAGGUGGGAACACCUAUGCGCACACCCUGCAGGAGCGUGAUGGGGCUGAAGUGGGGCAGCCCGUCAUUUUGAGUGACUCAGACAUUCUGAGUUUCAGCAUUGACCAUGGUGCCCUCAAUAUCAGCACUGGAACCCAUGUUCUUCCUUCCCUGUCACAUGUAAUACAGACUGGAACAUUUCUAACCUCUGGAGAAUCAAGCAGUUCACUUAAGUCUCUGUCUGGAGUUGGGACAAGUGGUAACUUCAAUGUGACAACUCUUGAAGGCCAGCCAAUCAUUCUUACCGAGGGGACGUUUAUAGCUCCAGGUGGCAUCCAGCAGCAACAGCAGUCAGAUGCAGAACUGAGUGAUGGCAACAGCAAGAUCGUGGAGUAUACCAGCAAUACAGAAACUAAUCUGGAGUUCCUAAACACCACCACAGGUACUGUGGAAUUCACAACGCAGGAUAUCGUGGCACAGCAGUCCCAGCCUACAACUGGUGAUGGAGAAGUUUUGCUCAACAGUAUAGUGGAGCCACAGGAACCACAGCAAAUAAAAGCGGAGGAUAGUACUGACAUUCAACAGACAACUAAAACUCUCAAGUUGAGGUGCAGGUACUGCAGCAAACAGUUUGCCAAGAAUUUUGACUUGCAGCAGCACUUGCGAAGCCACACGGGCGAGAAACCCUUUCAGUGUGUUGUAUGUGGGCGGGCCUUCUCACAGAAAUCUAACGUGAAGAAGCACAUGGCCACACACAAAGUCUGGCCUCAGGGUCUAAACCGAACGCUGCCUGAAGAACCAAUCCAACCUGUUGCCAGGAGGGAUGCUGGUGCAUCAUCUGAUAAGGACUCUGAUCAUAGUAACUUGGAAGUUGAGCUAAUGGUGGACCGAGCUUAUGUUUGCCAAUACUGUUCCACAAGAUUUGAGUCCUACUUUGAACUCAAGACCCACAUGAAGCAGCAUUCACAUCAAAAGGUCUACAAAUGUAUCCAGAAAAACUGCCACCAGACAUUUUCUGACCUGGACACAUUUGUAAGUCACACACGAUUCCACUCAAGUGAGGUAUUGUAUCGGUGUCAUGUGUGCAGCAAGCAGUUCCACACAUUGGCAGACCUGGGCAUCCAUCACUAUAGCCACAACACCAAGACUGCGCCUCCCAAAAUAGGCAGUAGGUUUUAUCGUUGUGUGAAGUGCAAAAGCAAAUUCUCAUCUCCUGAGUCACUGGACCAUCACAUGGCAAUUAGCACUCACAGUUAUCCAUGCCCACAUUGUGGGAAGGUAUUUGCCUGUGAACGCUAUCUGCGAAGACAUCUUCCUACACAUGGGACAGCCCAGUCUUUCACCUGUCAACAGUGUGGCAAGGGCUUCCGCACUGAGCAAUAUCUAAACACUCACAUGCUUACACACAGUACGCACAAACCUCAUGUGUGUCAGCACUGUCCAGCAGCAUUCAACCGCAAAGACAAGCUUGUGAGGCAUCUGCUGAUUCACCAGUCAGUAAAGAAAUUCAAGUGCCCAUUCCGCUCGUAUUUGGGUUGUCCCAAGGAAUUCAAUAGACAAGAUAAACUAAAGCUCCACAUCCUGACACAUAGUUCAGUGCGUCCAUCCUUACAGUGCAAGAUAUGCAAUAAGACAUUCCAACGUCAGACACAGCUACGCCAACAUGACAGAACACAUCAUCAAGUAUCUCCUCACACAUGUGAAAACUGUGGCAUGGGCUUUAAGAAGAAGGUGUCACUAGCAGCACAUGAAUGUAAUCAUUCACAGGAACAAAUGGAUGAGGUUGGUGUUACACUGGAAAGUAACCUGAGACGGACUCAAACCCACUCUCAGUUACAGCAAGGAGCAAGGAGAGGUAUCCGAAAGGCCAGACUGAGAGGACACAUUAAAGAGACCCCACAGACAGAGGAGACCACCAAGACAGGGGACAAUGUUCCUACAAUUGAGAUUAUUGUGAUGCCAGUUCCGGUCUCGUUAGAGCAGCAUGCUGCCAGUGAUGGCAGCACUGGUGCUGGUGGCAGUGGGAGUGAGAGGGGUGGUGUGUAUCGUGUGGUGUUUCCUGGUGAGUCAAAGUUGCAGACAGUGUUCCAUGCACAAGAUGGAAUAGCCGUGAAUCAGUGCAGCCAGCAGCAGGACCAAGAAGUUCCUGUGGCUUCCACUACACUUUGAUACAGGUUGUGUUAUCAGGAGAUCCUCACGGCAUCACACCUUAGUGCUGGUUUUACCACCUUAAUGUUGUGGUCCUGACACGGUAAUUUAGUCUAUAUUUUGUAUGUGUGGCUGCUACAGGCAUAAGCUAGAGGUGGCUAUAUCUUCUACUACAUUGUUCCUGCAGUAUUACCAACAGGAUAGAGGUGUGCGAUAUCCACCUUAAUUUUGGCAGUGGUACCAGUAUGAGGGGCAUACAGUUACAGCGAGGUCACAUAACUGAUUAGUCAGCAAACAUUCCAGAGGCUUUUCACGCAGCUGCAGGCAGCUACUUCCAAGCUGAGUGGCGUAAGAGCAAUGUAUAGUGUGUUGCAAUUUAUCGUGUUCUAAAAACAUAUUAAUACGCGACCGGUCCACCACGUUUAAAAGCGAAAAACAUAUUAAUGCGUGCGCGGUUCACAAAGUAUUAAGAGGAUGUUCAUUUUGAUUAGACAUCAUUUCACCACAUAGGAGAAAUUAUUUCAAUGUUGCAAAAUGGUGUGUUCUUCUCAUGAUAGUAAAUUGUGGACAGUCCAGAAACCUAAUAGUACUAGAUAUUUGUAGCUUCCACCACAUACAGGCAGGAUUAACAGUAUUCAUUUUGCAUAUAAUUUCCCAGAAAGACAUGGCACUAGGGCUUCCGUGGUUUGAUGCUCCAUUUCAAAGUGACGUGUGAGGGUUGAUCAGUAAAUUCUCAGGUUGGUUUCACUGUACAUUAAUAACACUUAUUGUAAGGGCAGCAGACAUCAGAUAUUGUUGAUGAAGGAAUUCAACUACUUCAGGUAGAAGCUGCUGUUUCAUAUGGGUUGUGAUUAAAAUACAUGUUUGUAGCGGUUAUCUAAGCAUGACAUGGCCAACAGUGAAUAGCAUCUACAUCAAGUUCUGGGUGAAGCUUGGAAAGAAGACACUAGAAACAUGUGAAAUACUAAAACGUAAAAGUUGGGAAGUACUUCACAAGUACGCCAGAACAUUCAAGUGGUUUGUUCAUUUUAAAGAAUGCAGAAUUUUUGUUGGAGAUAUAUGCUCUCAGUGUCAAUCUUCAUUUACCGAGAAAACAAUGUUUCUCUUUGUGACAGACUUUACAUAUUGUGAGAGCCAGUCAGUAUGUUUUAUUUGGAUGUUUUGAAAUACCAAAGAGGCGUGAUUCAACAGAAGGAGCAUGGUACAUCUCAGCAAUGCAUCAGCUUACUUCGCUGACACCAUAAAGGACUUUUUGACAAAGCACACAAUUCAGCUGGUUUUGCACCCACUAUAUUUACCAGAUUUAGCACAUGGUGACUUUUUUGUUACAGGAUUGAUGAUAACUAUCUGAAAGAAAAGAUAUUUCAGAAAAUUCCAGGAAUCAUCCAAAAUGUGCCAUAGGAAUUGAAUAACUUCCACGAAUCUCAGAAUUUUAUGAUGCAUCCUUGUAUGUUGCUGUGGUGUAUGAUAAUUUCCGUUUCUUUGCAUGAAAUACUGAUAGAGAAGUGUUUGUUUACUGCUCAGUCAGCCAGCAUAUAUAUGUUGGCAGUACUGGUUUUUUGGGAUGACUGAUUCGUGUAGGGCUUGCAUAUGUACCUUACAGGAGAACCUCAUUAAUCGACUUUCAGAUAAUCUGUAGCACACUGUGGAUUCACAACAUACAGAUAGCCGAGUCUGAAGGUUUGUGACUAUGGUGUUGAGCUCACACUAUAUUGAUAUUGUGCAUCAUCUCAUUUUGAUUUAAGAAACAUUUCAGAGACUCCAUCGUGAUGGAAACAAACCUAGUUUCUGAAGUGCUGUGUUUCUAUAGCCAGUACAAGAUAAAUUAUGGCCAGUAUGUCACUUUAAUACUGCACCAUUGUCUCAUAUGCUUGGAUUUGGAGAUAGAGAUUAGUCCCAUUUGAGUUAGAUUUCAUACUUUCAUCUUAAUACAGAUAGAGAACCAGUAUAUAAAACAUGAAGAUAUAUGGUGUUCAAUAUAUGUGCCAGUUUUAUAAUGACAGGAGCUAUGGUUUAUGUGGUAUGGGCACAGAGUUAGUUUACUUUUCAAGCCAUAUCAAGAUGGAAUUUUUUAGGCUGUGCCAUAGCUCAAGCGGUUAGUCGCUGGCUUCCCACUGUGGUGACCUGGGUUCGAUCCU
Cryptotermes secundus is the source of this 4687-nucleotide RNA transcript. It is a transcript of the gene named zinc finger protein 341, with no coding region annotated. The transcript is spliced from 13 exons. The record is from RefSeq and is a predicted model, not a curated record. NCBI's taxonomy places the organism in Eukaryota, Metazoa, Arthropoda, Insecta, Blattodea, Kalotermitidae.